CCUACGGGAGGCAGCAGUGAGGAAUAUUGGUCAAUGGGCGAGAGCCUGAACCAGCCAAGUCGCGUGAGGGAAGACGGUCCUAUGGAUUGUAAACCUCUUUUGCCGGGGAGCAAAAAGCGGUACGUGUACCGCAUCGAGAGUACCCGGAGAAAAAGCAUCGGCUAACUCCGUGCCAGCAGCCGCGGUAAUACGGAGGAUGCGAGCGUUAUCCGGAUUUAUUGGGUUUAAAGGGUGCGCAGGCGGCGAGUUAAGUCAGCGGUAAAAUCGUGGGGCUCAACCCCAUCCAGCCGUUGAAACUGGGGAUU
This 305-nucleotide ribosomal RNA is filed under the name uncultured bacterium. RNAcentral describes it as "bacterial SSU rRNA". It matches the Rfam family "Bacterial small subunit ribosomal RNA", at positions 338 to 641 of the family's 1533-position model. The record is from RNAcentral.